GGUGUGCACCCGAUUCUCGUUCGAUCACCGAAGUUAAGCCACCUCGAACCCGGUCAGUAUUUAAAUGGGGGACCUCUUGGGAACACU
Molecule: non-coding RNA, 87 nt
Organism: Acanthosepion pharaonis
Lineage: Eukaryota; Metazoa; Mollusca; Cephalopoda; Sepiida; Sepiidae
Source: the annotation of a GenBank genome assembly